GACACAAGCAGUUCCCAUACAGGAAGGUCCCUGGUGACAAUGGCAAAUUCUGCUUUUAUUCGGAACCAGAAAAAAUGAAGUUUGCUCAUCCUGGCUCAGCAUCAGCAAAAUCAUAAGUUCCUGUGUGGUCUGAGAUUAAAAAUAUCGGCUCAAACUGAUUUUCUGUUUGGAUUCCGUUCAACAGCCUUUCCAAAAUGGAAUUAAGCUCUGGAGGAUCUGCCCAUUCUCAAGUGUACCAGUGUGCUUGGAUGAAUGAUGAAAACAGAAGAUGUUGAACUCAUUUUAAUUCAUAUCUGGCAGUAAGCUGGGCAGAACAGCGGGGCAGUCACACACCGAACAAGGGAACCCAGAAAAGACAUCAGGAUUAAAAACUAGACUGUGGAUAGUAAAGCACAAGUACAAGGAGGUGAUACUGGCAGGAGAGAGGAGCUGUAAGUCCUGAAACCUGAUGGAGUGCUGAACAGUUAAUGGGUCACGUUAGGAAAGCUGUGUGAAGCAGGUCAUCACAGCGCUGUGACCCAGGUGUGCUGACACUCUGUUAAUUCCUGGAGGAGACAAGGAAGGAGAAAGAGGUGUUAGCUGAGAAGGGGCAUAGCGCCCAUUGAUGACUCAAAGGUGAAUCUGGAUAAGUUCAAGAGGUAAGUUGGGUUCCUGUGC
Tympanuchus pallidicinctus (lesser prairie-chicken) is the source of this 657-nucleotide long non-coding RNA. RefSeq lists it as uncharacterized. NCBI's taxonomy places the organism in Eukaryota, Metazoa, Chordata, Aves, Galliformes, Phasianidae. The transcript is spliced from 4 exons. The record is from RefSeq and is a predicted model, not a curated record.